Molecule: non-coding RNA, 2268 nt
Organism: Phascolarctos cinereus (koala)
Lineage: Eukaryota; Metazoa; Chordata; Mammalia; Diprotodontia; Phascolarctidae
Source: RefSeq, a predicted model, not a curated record
UCAUUUAUUUGCAAAUAAGAAUACAUACAUCUAGUAAGUGGCUGGACCAAGUCUUGACCUUGGGUCUCCUGAGUCCAAGGCCUGUGUGCUUCCCUCUGCCCUAACCUGCAUCCCAUGAACAAUUCUGAGAGCUGACAGUAUGCCUGCCUACCCAGUUCUGCCCUUCCCUGUUUGUUGUGUCUGACCCUCAAGAUUCCCAAGACAGACGCUGCAAUGGGCAACUAUUUGGCCAGCGAUUUGGAAAAAGCCUUCUGAAGAAGAGCACACCAGGGGGAAAGAAGGGAGAGCUCGAUUUUAGCCUUACUUAAGCCUGCUUGGCCUCUCAGCUGCUACAUGGACGAGAGAAAGAAACGGCACUUACAGAUGUUCCUGGCCAAGUUUCCACACGUGCCUAUGAUGGUCUGGGAAAGUUUAACAUCAAGAUCUCUUUGUGACUUGAUAAACCUUCCUUGUGGCCAUUCUGGUGAUGAUGCUGUCCAAACCUAGCUUGUAGCUUGGCCCUCAGAAGACAAGUGUGCAUAGAGUUGGUAACUCUGGGCCUAUACUUGAAACUUCUAGCCUGAUGGGACCUUUGGGGUCUGGGGCUCUUUUGGCCUAGCCCCCAAGAAGCAAAGAUCGCUUCCUCCCCAUAAUAUGGAGUCCCCCUCCAAUGCCUAUGGUUAUGUGUUUUGAAACCUAUUCUCUAUUGACAUGUAGCUAAAUUAGCUCUUAGUGGUCAUUGCUCUAUGCUCCCUUGAAUAAAAUUUAGGCAGAAUGCUAAUUUAUGAGUUCCAUUAAAGCAUCUAGUUUACUCCAGUGAACCAACAGCCUUCAAGAAUCCUAGUUGACUGAGAGAGAUAAAGCAAAUUCCAUUUGAGAAAUCCUAGAGAUGUGUGCGUGUGUGUGUGUGUGUGUAUGUGUAUGUUUGGAAGACACCCCCUCCCCAACUAUUCUGCCUAUGCAGUGAAGGUAGCCCCUUGGCAUGAUACUUUGUGUAUAGUAACUAUAUUUUGACUACCUAGAGAAUGUUAAAUUUUCCCAAUAAAAUUUGAUGUGCUUUUCAGAAAAAACAAAUCCCAAACCUCCAGACCCAAUUAUACAACUUGUAAAUACAGGCUUCAGGAAGCAGGGAGGAUGAAUGUAGUCACUAAGGAAUCACCCCUUUCCAAAUAACGUGGCCCUCCUCUCUCUUUCCCACUCCAGAAUUCAUUUCUAAACAUUGUUAUUUGUAGAUAGAAGCCAACUUGCCUCUUUAUGACAAAUUUGUAAUCUAACAGUGUUUGUCUUUAAGUAUCAAUAAAUUGCACACAUCACGCAGUCCUAAGGACUUUCCGUGUCCUCAUCUGUAAACCAAGGGAAUCCUCCUGAAUGAGCUCUCAGAUGCUGAUCUGCCCUGACAUUCUGUGUUUUAACCUCUCUGAGUGAGUGCAUUAACACAGGAGUCUGUCUGCUUUCAUCCUCUGCAGCCUGCGUUAAGUAAGUUUCUUUGGCCUUGCUUGUGUUUGCCAGUGCUUUCUCCUCGACUAUACUCGGCAUUCCCCUGAUGAUGGUGAUGAUGAUGAUGAUGGUGAUAAAAGUACUAUGAAUAUAGCACCUCUUACGGACCAGGCACUGUGUGAAGCACUUAAAUAUUAUCUCAUUUGAUCCUUAACAAUGCCCCUGAUAGGGGAAGUAGGUUCUGCUAUUAUCCCCAUUUUACAGUGGAGAAAACUGAGGCAGACAGCAGUUAAAUGAUGUGUUCAGAGUCAUGUAGCUAGUAAGUGCCUAGGGCUAGAUUUGAACUUGGGUUUUGCUAGCUUUAGGCCCCGGGUUCUAUGCCCUGGUACCCCCCAGCUACCAUACAGAAAAAGAAAGGUAGACUCCGUCAACCUCCCUGCAGCUGCCGUGACUGAUGCCCUUGCAGGUUAUGGGGUUGAGCUGAUGAAGCCACAAAUAACAACCAGCAAUAGUAGCUGAGAUGUCUGUAGUUCUUGACACGUGGGUGGAAGCGUAACUUCACGUCUUGUGUCUUGUUUGGUCCUCACAGCAGCUCUGAGGGAGGCUGGGGAGCUGUUAUCCCCACUUUACAGAUGAGGAAACUGCAGCCCAAAGACUUAAAAUGACGCUCACUGAGAACCCCAGGGACUCCUGGGCAAACAAGGCAGAGUCUUAGUUAUCUGUACCCAGGUAGGUGACGGCUCCUGUCCUCGGCGCAGCACGCUUACGCCUUGUGCUUCUCAGGGACCUGCUUUGCGCCACCUCUUUUGUAAGUUGGAAUUUUGUCUUUUAAUAAACGGGUUUCUAACACGA